RNAcentral lists this long non-coding RNA (557 nucleotides) under Mus musculus (house mouse). RNAcentral's name for it is "expressed sequence AI838599". Lineage: Eukaryota; Metazoa; Chordata; Mammalia; Rodentia; Muridae. The record is from RNAcentral.
CCAGAGGAUUUCGAGGAUCUUCUGUCCUCAAGGAAUCGAUUACAGAUUUCUACUUGCAGAAAAGCUCAGCUGGACACAGCUCAAGUGAGCUGCACAUAUAUUCUCCCUCUACAACCCACUAUAAAGGAGUGGAUGCUCUCUGGAACAUUCUAACCCCACUGCAGAGGCUCAGAACAGAGUAACAAUCACUGGUGUGGACAAUGUAUCUAAGGCUUAAGCUGGUGAGUAACACCCUCAACACCUGCUUCUCAGGUCACCUCACAAACCAGGUUUCAUUACUAUGCCAUAAAAGAAACAGGAGACACCAGAUCUUGUGAAAUGUUUAAAUAACUUUAAACUUUAUUAAGUAAAAAUUGCAUAAACACAACCAUAAGGUAAUGAAUAGAAAAAUUAAAUACAAACAAUCACUUGAAAUUAGAUUAUUACAUAACUGGUGGUUUCAAUCCUAAAUACUAAAUACCCAAUUUUCCACAGUGAGAAUAUUAAUCUAAUGAGAAAAAAAUUCAAUUUUGUCUUAACAUAUGCCAAAACUCUUUAAGAAAAAAAAUUUUAAUUAA